Molecule: ribosomal RNA, 557 nt
Filed under: uncultured Phyllobacterium sp.
Lineage: Bacteria; Pseudomonadati; Pseudomonadota; Alphaproteobacteria; Hyphomicrobiales; Phyllobacteriaceae
Description: bacterial SSU rRNA
Rfam family: Bacterial small subunit ribosomal RNA
Source: RNAcentral
ACGGGUGAGUAACGCGUGGGAAUCUACCCAUCUCUACGGAAUAACGCGUGGAAACGUGUGCUAAUACCGUAUACGUCCUUCGGGAGAAAGAUUUAUCGGAGAUGGAUGAGCCCGCGUUGGAUUAGCUAGUUGGUGGGGUAAAGGCCUACCAAGGCGACGAUCCAUAGCUGGUCUGAGAGGAUGAUCAGCCACACUGGGACUGAGACACGGCCCAGACUCCUACGGGAGGCAGCAGUGGGGAAUAUUGGACAAUGGGCGCAAGCCUGAUCCAGCCAUGCCGCGUGAGUGAUGAAGGCCCUAGGGUUGUAAAGCUCUUUCACCGGUGAAGAUAAUGACGGUAACCGGAGAAGAAGCCCCGGCUAACUUCGUGCCAGCAGCCGCGGUAAUACGAAGGGGGCUAGCGUUGUUCGGAUUUACUGGGCGUAAAGCGCACGUAGGCGGACUAUUAAGUCAGGGGUGAAAUCCCGGGGCUCAACCCCGGAACUGCCUUUGAUACUGGUAGUCUAGAGUUCGAGAGAGGUGAGUGGAAUUCCGAGUGUAGAGGUGAAAUUCGUAGA